UUUCCAUGCUUUACUUUAUCAUUUUUACAGGUAGAUAUAUAAAACUGUUUUCUCUCUACAAAUGUAAUGUUGAUAAAGUUGUUGCUUAUGUAAUGUGGUAAAUGUUUUAGCUGGCCUGAACUGGCGCCGAAACCCGAUUGCUCUUUGUUGGUUAGUAGAGUUAUUCUGUUCAAUUAUUUUUUUUGUUGGUCUUCAUGAAUCUUCUUGUUGCAUAAUACGUGUUUGAUCUGACUCAUGUUUGCAGAGACAGGUCUUGGUUUAUGUUACAUUCAAUUUCUUCUGCUUGCUUAUGCAAAACCUAAUAGUCUAUACUCAUUAUUCUCAUUUCGAACAAUAUUAAAGUAUUUCUUACCUAGGUAACUCCCUGUACAUAUUGGUAUAUACGCAAUGGCAACAAUUCUCAUUUUAUUAACAUAAGAAUUUUAAAUUUAGAUCAUACAACUAUAUAUAUAGCUAUAGUUUUAGCUCUGUUAAAAUAUUUCUAAGCAUGCAACUUGUGAAUAUAUUCUUUCUAGCCUAAGCAAUCUUCUAAUAUUAAUCCUCUGUUAUCUACAGUUAGGUGUGUCUGAGCUGAAAACUUAGAUAGUUCUUAUUCUUAUGUUGAUCACAGAACUGUAACUGCUUAAUCAGUGGAUAUAUUCUUACUGGCCAGCAAACAUAUGAAUGUGAUCAUCCUCUGGAUGAGAGGCUGAGGAAGAGUUAUAAGAUUGUGUGGAUUCCCUCUCCAUCUUCUGAUUCAUAGACUGAAGCUGAUGAAAGUAGUUUUAAUUUUCUGUCAGAUUCCUUGCCUUGGCAUGCUGUUCAGAAACAAAGUUUACUUACCUCAGCAGUGUACAUAAGGGAACGAUGAAAUUAAAAGGAUGAGCUAUUCAUGGUUGCGAAAGUCUCCUUCCUCCUACAAAGAAUUUUUUAACUGGUUUCUGCAAUAUUUUUAUUUUUGUUGGGCCUCGAUUAUUAUAAUUGGGCUUGAUCCCAACUCUUCUGAUCCUUCCACAUCUUCCACAGCACCCUCAAUCAUCCUCUGCUUAUAGUCCAACAUGCGAUCUCUGCAUGUGUGCUAGCCUGCUUUCAUUUAAUAUCAUCACCCGAGUUGUUUUUGUUUCUGUUUUUUAAACCUUCCUACUAGAAGAUUGCAUGGUUCAAGCUCUGUCUCAGAAACUUAAGGGAAUCCUUGCCUUUCAAAUUCUCAAAAGUUGAAAUGAAGGAAACGCAGUUUCUCCUCCUCCCUCUCAUUGUCCUCACCCCAGCCGACAACCUUUGUUUUAUGCUAGCUACUUGUUAAACACUUAUAGGGACAAAUUUGGAUACAGUACUGUUUUGUAUUGUUCUCUUAUCAGAAUUGAAGUUGUGUUUUGGUAACUUGCAUUAGAAGACUUUAAAGAUUAUCAAGUUGGAUUUGUAUAUAUUUCAAAAUGUGAGGAAGUGCUUGCAAUGAGCAGAACAGAAACACCUGGGAUCUGCCGAUGGUACAUAUUGAAUCAAAUGGUGCACUUGGCAUUUCAUCACGGUAUGGAGACACUUUAUGCAUACAAAUAUCUUCUAACUAAGCAACUAAAGUAUAUCUAAAUAUUACCAAGCCUGUAUAUAUGGAGUCCCUACUCGUAAAAGAAAAGUUUAUACCAAUUUUGUUCGGAAUAUAAGGUGGAGCAAAUUUUUACAUAAUGUCUUGGAUUUUUCGUACAGUUCUUUUUCUGGACAAUCCAUUAUGGGUCUUUUAAAGGGAUCCAUUUUUGGGCUCGUCAAUUUUGAUAUGAUCUACAUUCUGAAAGGGUUAAGAUUUUUUUAUCAUGGUGCAUCCUAUUCCACAGCUUUUGCAGUACUGCAUGCCACACAAAUAAAUCAUGUUUUCCAAAAACUAACCUUAAUUAUAUGAGUGAGAAAGAAACUAAAUUGAACUAAAACUAUCAAUAACCCAACGAAAUUAAACGAAAAGGAAUUUUCAUGAGAUUAUUUUUCUCUUCUCACAACUUAUUCCUAUCCUAUCAUGUGGGGUGUUGUGAACUUCUUACAAGAAGAUCAAGUCUUUUUUCUCCUAUCUUUUCAAGGAUGCGAAUUUUUUCAAAAACCUGUUCUGUCUUAGUAGAUUGUCUACUUGUUGAGGAUGGCCAAUUGAAUUUUUUUCUAUACCUCUGUUUUUCAAAAUCAAUGAAUUAUUUUGUUUUUAUUAUUUCAAAAAUUUUACUUAGACUUUUAGGACUUUAUUUGACAUUUUCGUUUACUUUGAACAGUUUCUGAUUGUAUUUUCUGUGCUCCAAAUUUUGAGUGAUUAGAUCAUUUGUAGAAUUGAACUUGAUUUUCAAAUGCUGAGCUAUUUAGUCACAACUCUUAAAUCCCUUUUAGCAGUUAAAAAAGGUUCCAAAAGUAGAAAAGUCUUAUAUAGAAGCUCAUUACAUGCUUGUAUGAUAAAAUGAAUGUUAAUAAAGUCUACCUAUUCAUGUGACUCAUUAAAAGGUAGUUUAAACUCCAUGUCUACCAUAAAACAAAGUUGUGAUUCUUCUUCUAUAUGUCUUCAUCUUCAAAGUCAAUUAAGUCAAAUUUUCUCAUUUUGAAAUUAGAUUUUUCUUGAUAUCAUUUUUGACAAACUUCUUUCCUUUGACUUUUCCUACUUUGAACAUGACUUAAAAUGUCUAAGUUUCUUAACUCACAGCAACUGAUCUGCCUUGCGUGCUUUUUAUCCUUUAGAUUUUUAUUUUGCUAUAUCAUCCUUUGAAUCCUCUUAUUUUCCAGAUCUUGUGAAAUUUUCUCGUGAUGAAUAGUAUUUGUCAUCUUUGUCUAGCUCGUGACUUCUAACAAAGUGUUGGAUAAAUCUUCUAUGUUGAAUAUGUUUUAACUUGAUGUUUGUUUCACAUGUUGUUGAGCAUUUCAAGGCGAGAGGCUUUCCUUUCUUCUGUUGAACUUGUUGAAGUUCUAUCUAGUAAACUUCUGAGAUUCUUACUAAUUUCUCCAGAGUAAAACUCUCCAAAUUUGUUAAUGCAGAGAGUUUCAACCUACAACCUCCAUUAUCCCAGCCUUCAAUGAUGUCUCACCAUUGACAAAGGAUGACAUGUUGGAGAUAAGGAAAAAGUGUUCAUCUUAUUUGCUCAAACAAUUGUAAGAAGUUUAGGCUUUUAAGAGUUUUUCCCCUUCACUUUAUAUGUGUUUUUAAUAAUUAGUUGUAUGUACUUUGACUUUGGUAAUUUUACUAUUAAUUUCGUAAGUUAAAAGAUAAAACUUGUUUUAGACCUUUUUUGGA
This is a long non-coding RNA of Vigna unguiculata (cowpea), 3232 nucleotides long. Lineage: Eukaryota; Viridiplantae; Streptophyta; Magnoliopsida; Fabales; Fabaceae. The record is from RefSeq and is a predicted model, not a curated record.